This 528-nucleotide unclassified non-coding RNA is filed under the name Hevea brasiliensis (rubber tree). Lineage: Eukaryota; Viridiplantae; Streptophyta; Magnoliopsida; Malpighiales; Euphorbiaceae. The record is from RNAcentral.
GUUUAAGUUUAAGCUAAUCAAAGUAAUUCACCUUAUUCACACGCACGUAUUAAUUACUGAGGCAUCAGAAUUCCAGUAGCUCUGCAAUGGUGGGUGUUCUUGUUAUUUGUUGAAUGAUGCUGUUUUUGUUAAUUGUGCUUCUGCGGUAGGUGAUACUAAUGGCCGAAUUACUUAUAGCACCUUCAUCCGCUACUUGCUGUUUGUAUUUGUUAAUUGAACUGUAAUUUUGCUUCUACAAUUGCUUGGGCAUUAAUCUGGAGGUUUUUAGGGUAGCAAGUGUGCAAAUGGUUUCUCAUUAUUAUAUUUUUAGGUUCUGCAAAGUAAUAACAAGAGUCUUUAGCUAGCUUGGCACAUGAAUCUUUUUAUAUCAUUUGAUCAGUGUAAUAUAUGGGUGUGUUUUUUACUGUAUGUGUGUGUACUGUGGCUUUUAUCAAAUUCUUUUCCAAGUACGCCUCACCUAACUUCACACCCUCCUGGCCUCCUCCUUAAAAUAUUCAUAUAGAGCCUGAAUUCAUUGGCUAAACUUGU